GCGGGCGUGGCGGAAUGGUAGACGCAUGGGACUUAAAAUCCCUCGGGCUUCGGCCCAUGCCGGUUCGAGUCCGGCCGCCCGUA
Molecule: transfer RNA, 83 nt
Filed under: Phaeovulum veldkampii DSM 11550
Lineage: Bacteria; Pseudomonadati; Pseudomonadota; Alphaproteobacteria; Rhodobacterales; Paracoccaceae
Rfam family: tRNA
About the family: Transfer RNA (tRNA) molecules are approximately 80 nucleotides in length.
Source: Rfam by way of RNAcentral